CGUUUUUUGAUUAUAAUUUAAGAUUUAUUCUGCUCAAUGAAAAUUUAAAUAGCCGCAGUAUUUUAACUGCGCAAAGGUAGCAUAAUAAUUUGUUUAUUAAUUGUAAACUGGAAUGAAAGAAUAGAUAAAAUAUUUACUUUAUUAAUAUUAUAAAUAUAAAGUUAAUUUUUUAGUAAAAAAGCUAAAAUUUUUUAUUGGGACGAGAAGACCCUAUAGAAUUUUAUAUUAUAAUGAAUAUUUUAAAUUAAUAUAUUUUUAUAUAUUUAUUAUAUUAAUUUAUUGGGAGGAUAAUUAAAUUUUUAAACUUUAAUAUAAUUAACCAAAGAUAAAUGAAGAUUGGAUUUUAUAUAUAAAAUUUUAGAAAAAUUACCUUAGGGAUAACAGUGUAAUAUUUUUAGAAAGUUCUUAUUGAUAAAAAUGUUUAUAACCUCGAUGUUGAAUUUAGAUUAAUUUAAAUAGAAGUUUGUUUAAAUUUUAGUCUGUUCGACUAUUAAAAUCUAACAU
RNAcentral lists this ribosomal RNA (504 nucleotides) under Sclerodermus sichuanensis. RNAcentral's name for it is "partial 16S ribosomal RNA". The record is from RNAcentral. Lineage: Eukaryota; Metazoa; Arthropoda; Insecta; Hymenoptera; Bethylidae.